This is a long non-coding RNA of Oncorhynchus tshawytscha (Chinook salmon), 3840 nucleotides long. Lineage: Eukaryota; Metazoa; Chordata; Actinopteri; Salmoniformes; Salmonidae. The record is from Ensembl.
GGGUAGUUGUUUUCGGUUUUUGUGUCUGCACCAGACAGAACUGUUUCGGUGCCGUUGGUUCUCUUUGUUGGUUUGUUAAUCAGUGUUCAGUUCCAUGAAUAAAAGCAUGAACAUGUACCAUGCGGCACCUUGGUCCUCUCCUUCCAACGGCCGUUACAACGAGUGAAUAGAGUAGUCUUCAUUUCCUCUGGCAUACAGCCAUCAAUACUCUCUCCCAGACUGGAAUACUGGUACGAGACAGCCAUCAAUACACUCUCCCAGACUGGACUACUGGUACGAGACAGCCAUCAAUACUCUCUCCCAGACUGGAAUACUGGUACGAGACAGCCAUCAAUACUCUCUCCCAGACUGGACUACUGGUACGAGACAGCCAUCAAUACUCUCUCCCAGACUGGACUACUGGUACGAGACAGCCAUCAAUACUCUCUCCCAGACUGGACUACUGGUACGAGACAGCCAUCAAUACUCUCUCCCAGACUGGACUACUGGUACGAGACAGCCAUCAAUACUCUCUCCCAGACUGGACUACUGGUACAGGACAGCCAUCAAUACUCUCUCCCAGACUGGAAUACUGGUACGAGACAGCCAUCAAUACUGGUACGAGACAGCCAUCAAUACUCUCUCCCAGACUGGACUACUGGUACAGGACAGCCAUCAAUACUCUCUCCCAGACUGGACUACUGGUACGAGACAGCCAUCAAUACUCUCUCCCAGACUGGAAUACUGGUAUGUCUAAUAGUUGGAGGUGUGGCCCCAGACUGGACUACUGGUAUGUCUAAUAGUUGGAGGUGUGGUCCCAGAGAGGACUACUGGUAUGUCUAAUAGUUGGAGACGUGGUCCCAGAGGAGGGGAACGGUGUACAGAUGGACUGUUAUGUCACAGUACGGGUUGACGCACACAAAUAUCAUUGUGCACAUACAUACGCAUGUGUCCACACACACAGAGUCUUUGUUAAUUAGUUUGUUCCUAAUUUCACAGCCUAAACAGGCCCUGUGUGUGACUCACAGCAUAUUGUUACAUAAAUAAUACCUCUUAGUCUCUCUCUCUGACUGACGGUUGUGUUGUGAUAUAAAGUUCCUCCACCUGUCGUGGAACUCGGAAGAAAGACUUUAACCAGACCCACAGGAUUUUGUUGAGACUCAAUGUGAAUUUUGAGCAUUGCUUCUGUAGGUCUGGUCAGCCACAUCACAGCAAUACAGUUUGUGUAAGUUAAGUCUGUAACAGUAUGGUGUGUGUCAUGAUACAGUCCCGGUCUAUGAGGUCUGAAGGACAGUUGAAAGACACACUUUAAGCCCUCUGACUCUCUUUGUAUUCAGUGGUAGACCUCCACGAGUCCGUUAAUAAUUGUCCAUUGUUAAGGUGCUUUACAGGAUUUGGGCUGUUUUUGCUGACAGGGUUUUGUGGAGCUUCGUCAGCCAGUGAGAGUAGAGUGGUGCAUUCCUGCAUUCCUUCCACAAGGGGGCGACAUCAGUGACAGACGUAUAGACGAUGCAUGUUUGGUAGAGUAGGUUCACAGACAUUGUGUGUCACACAAAGACAGACGCACACACGAUACCUCUGUCCUUUUUUCAACGGUAAACAAUGUAUCAGUAUUUCUGUAUCCUAAGAAAUCACUUCAGCAUGUUUGGGUUUUCUGCAUAUAUUUCUGAGUGAAUAAUAAGGAAUUGGCUAAAUUGGCAUUCCUGACCUGCAAAACGAUAUUUAAUUUCAAAAUUGGUCAAAAUUAGGUUAAGUUUAUGGUAUGGGUUAGGAUUAGGUUCAAGGGUUUGGUUAAAGUUAGGGUUAGUCGAUUUACAGGUCAGAGGUGUCCUUAUAACCUCUCCAGAAUGAUAUGUCUUGUCUGUUUCUACCUCUCUCUGCUGUCCAAGUCACCUGAUUUCCUGUCUUCCUGUCUUUUCUUGUGUUCCUGUCUUCCUGUCUUUGUGUCUAACCGUAUUCCUGUCUUCCUGUCUUUGUGUCUGUCUUCCUGUCUUUGUGUCUUUGUCUUCCUGUGCCUUCCUGUCUUUGUGUCGAACUGUCUUCAUGUCUUCCUGUGUCUUCCGGCUUUCCUGUCUUCCUGCGCAGUAUGUACCUCACAAGAGUGUAAUCUGCUCUGCCCCGAGUGGGGCUUGAACUCACAACCUUCUCCACAAAAGCACAAGCAACUCAAAGCCAACCGUAUGUCACUAAACACACCGUAUCUUGGCAGAGGAAGAUGUCGGUGUGGAAGCAGCCGGCCCGGCUGUAUCUGUGGGCAGCACAUGUCAUGUAGGGGGAAUCCACCACACCAGAGUCUGUUGUCUCAGUGUUGUCAGCCUGUCACCAUGAAUUAUAAGUGAUUCCAGAUUGUGAUGCAACACAGAGACACAGAGCUGUAGUAGUAAGGGUCUGGUUCUCAUUAUAACAGAUAGGGAAACAACAAGGCUGGCCAACCAUCUACUCUGAGUGCUUUUGUUCCAGCCCUACACUCCUCUCACUCCCCCUUCAGUCCCCCUCUCUGUCCCUUCUCAGUCCCCUCUUACUCCCCCUUCAGUCCCCCUCUCAGUCCCAUUCAGUCCCCUCUCUGUCCCCUCUCUGUCCCCUCUCUGUCCCCUCUCUGUCCCCUCUCUGUCCCCUCUCUGUCCCCUUCAGUCCCCUCUGUCCCCUUUCAGUCUCCUCUCUGUCCCUUCUCAGUCCCCUUCAUUUCCCUCUGUCUCCUCUGUCCCCUCUGUCCCCUUUCAGUCUCCUCUCUGUCCCCUUCUCAGUCCCAUUUGUCUCCUCUCUGUCCCCUUCUCAGUCCCCUUUCAGUCUCCUCUCUGUCCCCUUCUCAGUCCCCUUUCAGUCUCCUCUCUGACCCUUCUCAGUCCCCUUUUACUCCCCCUUCAGUCCCCUCUCUGUCCCCCCUCUGCUCUCUCCUGACUGGGCAGCCUGCCUCACAGAGACCCAUUCACCCUGUAGACCACGGGAGCCUCCUCUCCUCACACACUGGAGUCAAUGAAAGACCUGCUGCCCCCUUCCACCUUCCUCUCUAACUCUAUCCCUCCCUUCCUCUUUUCCUUACCUCCAAGUUGUCAUAGAUACAUACCCCACCCUUACCUCCUUCCCUACCUUAAAGUGCUCAAACGUACCUCAUCCCACCCUUACCCCUCCCUCCACCUAUACCUCCUAGUUCUCAUACCUACAUACCCCACCCUCCCUCCCUCCACCUAUACCUCCUAGUUCUCAUACCUACAUACCCCACCCUCCCUCCCUCUAUACCUCCUAGUUCUCAUACCUACAUACCCCACCCUUACCCCUCCCUCCCUCCCUCCACCUAUACCUCCUAGUUCUCAUACCUACAUCCCUCCCUCGCUUCCCUCUCCCCUCCCUUCCCUACGUCCUGUAUUCAGUCUUCAUACCCGACCCCAAACUUACCCCCCGGCCGCCUUACCUCCCACCCUUCCUCCUUCCACCUCCCUAACACCCACCACUCCCUCUUUUCCCCACUACCCUGCCAUCUCACUGCAUUCCUCACUAGGUCAUACAGCGCUCCAUUGUGUGAGCGGGGCAGCGGGAUGGAGAGCACACAGUCAGAGCACUCACACACCAAACCCAGGAUUACCACUGGAAUCAACUUAAGAUUCCUCAAAUGGAAGCAAGCAGGUCUUCUUUUACCUCUCCUCCCAUCCUCUUUCCCUCCCUCCCUCCUCGCAUCCUCUUUCCCUCCCUCCCUCCCACCCUUCCUCCCACCCUCUCUCCUUCCUAUCCUCUCUCCCCGCCUCCCUCCCUCCCUCCCUCCCAUCCAACCACCCUCUGUCUCCCUCCCUUCCUGCCUCCCUCUGUCCCUAUCUCCCUACUAUCCUCCCUCUGCCUCCCUACCUCCCUCCUAUCCUCUCUCCCUCC